This 474-nucleotide ribosomal RNA is filed under the name uncultured bacterium. Its description in RNAcentral is "bacterial SSU rRNA". It matches the Rfam family "Bacterial small subunit ribosomal RNA", at positions 8 to 526 of the family's 1533-position model. The record is from RNAcentral.
AGAGUUUGAUCAUGGCUCAGAGCGAACGCUGGCGGCAGGCUUAACACAUGCAAGUCGAGCGGGCACCUUCGGGUGUCAGCGGCAGACGGGUGAGUAACACGUGGGAAUGUGCCCUUUGGUUCGGAAUAACUCUGGGAAACUAGAGCUAAUACCGGAUACGACCGUGAGGUGAAAGAUUCAUCGCCGGAGGAGCAGCCCGCGUCCGAUUAGCUAGUUGGUGAGGUAACGGCUCACCAAGGCGACGAUCGGUAGCUGGUCUGAGAGGAUGACCAGCCACACUGGGACUGAGACACGGCCCAGACUCCUACGGGAGGCAGCAGUGGGGAAUCUUGGACAAUGGGGGCAACCCUGAUCCAGCCAUGCCGCGUGGAUGAUGAAGGCCUUAGGGUUGUAAAGUCCUUUCGACGGGGACGAUAAUGACGGUACCCGUAGAAGAAGCCCCGGCUAACUUCGUGCCAGCCGCCGCGGUAAUAC